AACCAUUGCAGUGGCUGGCAGGUUUCCUGAGCUAAGAUCAUCUGUGAGUCUGUGACUCAAUGUGAAGUGUGAUCUGUGAUUUCCUCUGAUUUUUAUUCGUGAAUUGUGAUAUCGAGUUCAGUUUUCGUCUGUUCGUUGUUCGUACUUAGAGUUUGUGAGUGGCAUGACUUUUGCUUGUUGAGCAAUUCGAUAGACUUCCCUGAUUUUAUUUCUGAUGUGUUAAAAAUAUAUUAUUUUAUACGUUUGAUAAAGAGGACUCAAACUUAAGAAAAAUGCCAAUCGUCAGUGGCUCUACUGACCUGAAGUCACUUCCAAGUAUGAAUGGAAAUUCAGACCAUAGUCUAUUGCAAUUAGACGAUGAUGAGUCAUUUGUCGUCCUGGAAAGAUCUUCAGCAAAUGACGAAGGGAUGACAAUUGAUGGAAAUCUUCAGGGUUACCAACCUCUUCCGGUCAGUUACUCAUUCCCAGUCUUCAACAAUUUGGUUUCAAGCCAGAGUCCACUCAUAAAUCAGCCAGUUCCUGUAAUAGAUCCUUUGGGCCUCCAAUUUGAAAGUCCACAUAGCUCUGUAAGCGUUGAGGAAAUAGAGAAACGCCUUCAAGAGGUCAUCCAUGAAAACAUAAACCUAAAAGAAAUUGUGUACCAGACCAACAUGGUAAUGAAACAACAGCUGAAGACUGUGAGUCUGGUACAGGAUAGGGCAUUGGAAACUCAGAGGAACCACCAGGAAAAGUUUGAAGAAACUAAAUCGUUAAUACUGAAGCUGGGAUCGGAGAAAAAUAUUCUGCAAGAAACUAACAGUUUGAUUGUGUCUCAGUUAGAAAAAUUAAAAGAAGAAAACAAGGAAUUGAAAAGUGCAAACGAAGCUUUUGGAAAUGAAAUAUCAAAGUUUAAAGAAGAUACCAAACAGCUCAAGGAAUCCAACAUGGCGUUAGUAACAGAAACUACUAAACUGUUAGCAGAAAACGAGGCACUGAAGAAACAAUUGACCACAGCACAAGAAGCUGUGCAAACUGCAUCCGAGAGUAGCAAAGUAUCAUCAUCAGAGCUGAUGGCAGAAAACGAAACGCUGAAGAACCGAUUGGCAUCUGCAGAAGCUUUGCAGCGUUCCUUUGAAAAUAGCAAAAUAGCAGAGUUGAUGGAGGAAACCCAGAACCUGAAGAAACAGUUGGAGUCUGCAAACGAAGCUUACCAAAAUGCAUGGGAAAGUGGAAAAGUAGCAGCAGCAGAGCUGGUGGCAGAAAAUAAGAGUCUGAAGAACCAGUUGGUAUCUGCAGAAGAAGCUUUGAAACAUGCCUCUGAGGGCAACAAGAAAGCUUCACAGCAAUCAGCAAAGGAGGUAGAACUGCACCAACUGGUGGGUGACCUUACCAGAAAAUUGGAGAUUGUAGAAAGAGCUCGCAGAGAUCAAGAGUUUGGUUUGGAUCGUUUACAAGCCCAGCUGGGCCGAGUGACUGAAGAGCUCACAGACACUCAACGAAAACUUGCUCACUCUGAGAAUGCACUACAGUCAUCUCAAAGCCAGUUACAAACUGAAAAUUCCUUCCAGUACGGGGAGAAAUUAAAUAAGUACUUGGGUCUACUGAAGCAACUGAAAGAUUCACUAGAUGAGGAGCAAUCCAGAUGUAACAGCCUUGGCAGUUGGCUAAAUUUGACCGCAGAAUCUGGAAAUGUGAUGGAGUUUGAGAUUUCUGAAUUACGACGUCUUCUGCAAGAGGAACAAGAGCAUAGUGUUAAAAUGAAGACAUGUUUGUACUCAGCAGUGACAAUGAUCCAUGAAAUAUUGUCAGACUUCAAAAGUCUGGGAGAGGAGCUGGAGAAAGUUAGAGCAGAUCAUGCUGUCAAGGAAUCACACAGCCUGGCAUAUGAUGAGAUGCAGAAGAAGGGUUUCCGAGAGAGGCUCGACUCACUGACAGCCAAGCUGGUGGAGAAGGAGGAGGCCUUAGCCAUCUCUCAGAGACAUUUGGCCUCUCUCCAUGAGGCCGUCCGUCUGCAGAACGCAGAGAAAGAGGGUGCUUUCUCAUUUUUAGGAUUAUAUGGUAGCGGAGAAGUAAAAGUUCUCAAGGAGCAAGUGAAAAACUUGAGUGAUGAAGUUCAAGCUAAAAAGGAUGAACUGCAAGCCAACAUGCAACAAAUACAGACUCUUAGAACUGAAGUGCAGAAGCUGCAAGGUGUCAAUGACACUGUAAUGGUCCUUGAGGAGCAAGCAAAGAUAUAUCAAGCUGACUUCGAAGCGGAGCGAAAAGCAAGAGAAUUGUUAGUUGCAGAGAAGGAAAGAGUUGUAGAAGAUUUUCGUCAUCUUGUGAAAAGAAAUGAAGCUUUACUCAAGCAAGUCAAUAAACUUCAAAACAACCUUCCACGUGAAAAUGCAGUUACAUCCCAAACCUGCUCAUCUUCAAGGCGGCAGGAGCAAACUCCAUCCCCUCCCACACCAAGGCCACAAGAUGAUGUCAUUCCAGCGCCCAAGAGGUAUUUCUGUCCGAACCCAGAGUGCAACAUGAUAUUCACAACGGUGGAUCCCCUGCAGCUUCAUGUCAUCACAUGUCUUAAGCUUGACGACUAGGUCUCUAUCCCUCUCCCUCCCUUUCUACAGAUCGAAGAGGCUGUGACUUGUUAAUACCCUUGGCUGGUGCGAAAUUCCAAUUUAAGGCCCAAACCCAAGCAGUUUGUUUGUCCCAACACCACUUGCAAUCUCCCGUUCAACUCUCUGGAUGAAGUCCACCAACAUGUGAUCGCAUGUUGGGGCCUGCAAGAUUAGAUCAUUUGCGAC
Molecule: unclassified non-coding RNA, 2768 nt
Filed under: Homalodisca vitripennis (glassy-winged sharpshooter)
Lineage: Eukaryota; Metazoa; Arthropoda; Insecta; Hemiptera; Cicadellidae
Description: optineurin, transcript variant X2
Source: RNAcentral